This 523-nucleotide long non-coding RNA is filed under the name Sorghum bicolor (sorghum). RNAcentral describes it as "long non-coding RNA (SBIC_LNC014868)". The record is from RNAcentral. Lineage: Eukaryota; Viridiplantae; Streptophyta; Magnoliopsida; Poales; Poaceae.
AGCCAUUGAUUUUUCAUAUUUUAGAAAUAAUUUAAUCAAUUAAAAAAUAGCCUAUUGACCGGAGAAAGGACCCCACCAUCUUGAUUCCCCUAAUCACAGGAUUUCGACGGAGCACACCCAAAAGCAGUCGAGCAGUGUAGUGCAUAGUGCACUCUUGAUGGUCCUCGUGUAGGGUGUGAUCUACUAAUCUGGUUGACAUUUGUUUUUUUUCAAAUAGUUUCAGUUUUGUGAAAUUGUCCAUAUAGCUAUUCACAUUAACAGCCCCGUACUAACACAUAUACACCUGCAUCCUACAUGUAAGUCACAUACAUGUACUCAUACUACCGGCCACUUGCUAACACAUGUACAUAUGAUACACACAUAUGUCACGCACACGUAAUCACGUACGAUCUGUACGGUAACACAAAAUCAAAUGCUAUUAUUGUCACACAUACAAGUCAUAUUAAAUACAAAAUAAAAAAACAUGGUAACCAAAAUAUAUCAAGUUUAAAGUUGCAAAAUUUUAAAAAUUGCCAUAUCCUCC